Molecule: ribosomal RNA, 486 nt
Filed under: uncultured bacterium
Lineage: Bacteria
Description: bacterial SSU rRNA
Rfam family: Bacterial small subunit ribosomal RNA
Source: RNAcentral
GACGAACGCUGGCGGCGUGCUUAACACAUGCAAGUCGAACGGUGAUGGCCAGCUUGCUGGUCUGAUCAGUGGCGAACGGGUGAGUAACACGUGAGCAACCUACCCCAGACUCUGGAAUAACCAUGGGAAACGAUGGCUAAUACCGGAUACGAGGCAUACACGCAUGUGUGGUGUCUGGAAAGAUUUAUCGGUCUGGGAUGGGCUCGCGGCCUAUCAGCUUGUUGGUGGGGUAGUGGCCUACCAAGGCGACGACGGGUAGCCGGCCUGAGAGGGCGACCGGCCACACUGGGACUGAGAUACGGCCCAGACUCCUACGGGAGGCAGCAGUGGGGAAUAUUGCACAAUGGGCGCAAGCCUGAUGCAGCGACGCCGCGUGAGGGAUGACGGCCUUCGGGUUGUAAACCUCUUUCAGCAGGGAAGAAGCGCAAGUGACGGUACCUGCAGAAGAAGCGCCGGCUAACUACGUGCCAGCAGCCGCAGUAAAAC